UCUUCUUAGAGCUCGACGCCUCAUCUCAUCCCUGGUGGCAUGCCUCAACUUGCAAACCUUCUCCUCUAGGAAUCCAUCCCCCUUCCCUUCUUUAUCAGACAGAGUGUCUAACAAGUUUUCAGCCCUAGCUCCAAUCUCAUUUUCUCCAGUGACUCCCUCCAAAGCAUGGAGCAGUGAUAAGAUGCCUCCCUCAUCAAUACACCUUUGAGUGGCCAAAUGUCCCAUUGAUAAUCCCCUCAGCAUAGACAAGAUAAGUGGGACUGAUGGCAGUUUUAAACCUGAUGCCCAUUCUGCACUAGAUUUAAAGCCAGCCUGCCCAGCAACUGCAAAACUAUCUGUCAGAUGUCUAACUGCAACACCAGUAAUUCCCUUCUCCAAGAUAAUGUCCUUCAAUCUUUCUCCACAAGAACUUGUCUUGAGUGACUCUGAAACCCUGACAAAAUUCUCCAAUGCAAACUUUUGUUUGGCUGCCUGCCGAGCAAUGUCCUCAUCCUUUGGGUUGUCCUGUUGCUGUUUCUGCAGCCUGUCAAAUUCACCCCAGUCUUGUAAGUAGGGCUCAAAAUGGUGGAUGAGUGCUUCCAUUGCCGCAGGUUCACCGUAUGUCAAGUAAGGCAAAAUUCUUGCAACCAUCUCAGUGUUCCUCUGCUGUUUGUUUGACUUUUUAAGGCCUGAAGAAUGGCACAAUCUUUCCAGGAACAUGAGGACUAUUUUCUUCGCCUGGUCACCAGCACCAGCCACUUCGCUACUAACAGUAAGAGCAUUCUGUGUAAUGCUAAUAUUAUCACUUUCAUUUGCUUCCAAUGUCAGGCUCUCCACAAUCAAAAGAAUCCCUUCAGCCGGCUCCAUGGCAUCCACAGAGAAGGCACACCUUGCCGUUUCAAGUAGUACACCUAAAGCUCCUAGUCUUAACAAGGCACGUCGAUUCUCUCUUAUCUUGCAGCAGUGCAUGAGGAGAUUAAGCACUGCAACUAACUGCUCUUGAUUGGACUUCAAAUCAUCUCGCAAGCGCUGUAUAAGAAAAAUCAAGUCAGAUCAAAUGGAAAAUUCAUUAAAAUGUAACAAGAACACCAGACUAACUACAGCUGGUUAGGGGGGGAACCAUCAAAUAAAUGGCAAGGGGUUGCCUCAAAGGUAAAGAAAGGCAUGCCAGGACAGACUACAGAACCUAAAAAUAUUCAUAAUAUUCAUCUUUAUUAUAGUGUAAGCACAUGCUAAAAAAUAUCUUCUAGAUCUGCACUUAAAUUCCCACUUUAAGUAAUAUUUGAAAUAUCAGCAAGAUUACCUGACUUCUAACCAGUUGAACACUGAAAUCUAUCACCAAUAUUUCCACUGAUGCAUCAAAUGUUUUCCUUUUUUACUCAGGGAAGUGAAAUAAAAUGUAAAGCCAAUUCUGAUGCUUUUCCAUAGAAACACUUAAAAUUCAUGUAUAGAACUGAAACCUGAAAAUGGGAAAUUUCAAUGCUGAAGUUGGGCAAUUUGUUUCAAUUGAUAUAAAAGUUCGACACAUGGAGGAUCAUAAAAUCAUUCUGCCAAUCACUUUUUAAAUUAUAAUAUAGAUACUUCUAAAAUUGUUGAGAGCUUUGUUUUAGGUUCCUAAAUAAUUUCCUGCACAACCAAACUUCUUCCAACAUUUUUUUCCAUUUUUGUUGCUUUCCUGGAAAAUUCCUAUUUUAUGACUGAACAAAAAUUUUCCCUAUUUCAACUCUGAGAGGGAAAGAAACUUGAAGAUAUACUGUACUUAACUAUUCAGAUUCCAAAGGACCUCUAGAAAGUAAAGAAGAAUCCACACACCUGGAUCAUGCCCAAAAUAAUCUCAAGUCCGCCAUACUCCUGGACUGCACCUGCUAUUGCAAACUCAACCUCAGGGUCUUGUGAUUCCUCCCUAUCUUCUUCCAAUUCUUUAAUCAUGGGCUCUGUAGCUUCACCAUCUAAUCCCUGCCAAUUGUAAAGAAUAACACAUCCUUUUAUAAAAAGAAGAGAACACAUCCAAAAUUUUCAAAUCAAAGCAUUGAAAUUAGGAUCUCAACAAACCUGAUAAGGCACCAAAAUGGCAUACAAAACUUAGAAACCUAUUAACAUAGGAAAAUGCUACACUUUCCACCAUUUUUUUUACCACUUUUUGAUCUCAUGCAAAAAUAACAAGUGACAUUGUGACAAUGGGAUGUCAAAAAAAAAAUUAAAAAAAAAAAAAUUUGCUCAUUCCACCUUUUCCCACAUCCAAUGAUCGCACACCACAUCAGUCGGUGGUAAGGAAAGGAUGGAAAGAGUAGCAUAGCCAAUACAAAAAAUAUUUAGGGGGAAAGAGUGAACAGUGGAAGAUAGUGUUCACCAUACUUGUAUUUUUUUCUUUAGUAUUCUCUCAAUAUCAAAAAAACAGUAUUCAUGAAACAACAAAAAUGAUGAGCUCGAAACUAGCAAAUGAUUAUAAGAAUAAAGGUUAAAAGAAUCCUAUGGAAAUAAAUAAAUGGUCCACAAAGUUCCUGGUCAUUUAGGACGAGAUUCCUCUGUCAAUGACCAAAAUGGAAAUAUUUUGGUAGUUACUAAAACUAUUGUAUACAAACCUGAAGCCGGUAAGUCACUGUCAUAGGCGGACAAUCUCUGGCUGAUGUGGUUGCAUUAGAAGAAAGCAAGGUAGCACCAGAUAUGGUGUUUGAAGAUUGACUAUUUGACUUCUUCCAUACUUGCUCAUAAACUUGAGCAAUGCUCAAAUCCAAGGAGAUGAUAUUCCCAGCUACAAGCAACUCCAUGCCAUAGUCAUCUUCAAGUAGACCUAAUAGAUCCAACUGAUGGCAGAUUUUGUUCUUGACAUCACGCAUCAGGGGACCAAUCUCAGCGCUGGAGUAAGGAUUCUUAGUCAUUGAUCCCCUAAUAAAUUCUUCUUGUGUGUGCGCCUUGUUAAGGACUAAGAGAUAUACAGAUUCAGGUUUUGAUGGGCAGAUCAAAUUGCAGAGUUGCUCCAAGAUGAACUGCAUAAAAGUUGAAAUUAACUUGAGACUGGGCAGUCGGACUACAGUUUUACAAUAGGAAGCCAUGGUUAAAGAAUAAAGAAUUUAUUCUGAUUCUCAACCAUAAUGCUUGUAGUUUAGUUUGUGACAUAAGGAAGAACCAAACCAUGCAUUAAACUCACGCCAUAUUGACAAAUGUUGACCCUGCUCUGUGUUUGUGUGUGUGUGCGCGCAUUCUAAUCAGAAAAAGCUUGCUUCAGAAAUCAUAAGCCAACACAGAUGGGCAUAAAAUUUGACAAAAAAUAGAUUUCAAGGGAAAAAUCAAUAUUUUAGAACUUGAUAGGUAUGAAAUUUUGAUAAUAAUUUAAAAUAUCAUAAAAAAAUAACUACAAUAGAAGGCAAAUGGAGCAUUGGAUAGAUCAUCCAUACCAAAGAAGUUCGUCCUUUUCUCUCUUCUCCAUGAAUUUGCAGACCACAGAUACAGGCACGGAUAAACUGGCGUUUAUUCUCACUGCUCUCGAGUAAAAGGCCAUCCAAAAGAUCUUUUAGAAGCCGAUUGCAAUCACUUAUUAACUUCGUCUUCUGCACUAUCAGACCUCUAAUGACAAUAAGGGCCUCAAGGAUUUCAGACAGCAAGUUGUCCCGCAUGAAUCUAGCACCAAGACAAAUUAAAAAAGAAAGAAAAGAUAUUAAGAUAAAGAAGAGGGGAUCAGUUAACUGUGAAACAAAAGAGCAAUGGGGCACUUCUACCUUGAUCUGAUAUUGGGAACCUCUAAAAAUUUGCCAAGGAGCUCUAUAAGCUUGUGAAGGAUGAAACCCUGUGAAAUGUCAAUGUGCAGGCUCCUCUCUAAAGACUCAAUAUUACCCACUUCUUGGGAAAUUAAUUUACAUAUUUUAGUUAGACAUCCCCGUACAGUCAAGAACAGACGUGCAUCUUCUGAAUCUAUCAUCUUGAAGAGCAAUUCAAAAUAUUCGGCAGCACUUUCACCAGCAGAGAGAGUUGCUGGUAACAAAGCCAUGAGUAAGUUUAAUAACCGAAAUCUCCUUGCUGGACUUUGGGCACAAAGCAAACUAAUCAGCAUGCACAUCUCCGACCUUAUAGAUUGAGAACAAGCACUCAGUACUAGUUCUGUAACCCAUGACCCUAGCUCAAAUGCUGACAAUUCACCCUUAGAUGUCUUACAAGCAUUGCGCUUCCAUCUGAGGGCAUAUUUGAGAGCCAGGUAAUCAUAUCUUUGAGGUCGGGGCCUCUGGCCAGAGCUUUUAACUGCCUGAGAAACUUUGUACUGCCUCCUGACAAAAUCAAGAUAUGAUGCUCCUUUUUCCCACUCUGAGUAGCUCAAUAAUUGAAUAUCCUGAGUCUUCUGAGAACCAUCCCAAUUUUUUUCUGAUAAUUCUGCAACUGACUUACUCCCACCACCAUGGCCACUCACAGAUCCAGAUGAAUUUGAAUUGUUUUCAUCCUUACUCUGCAAAAGUGGAGUUGAUUUUCCCAACCCCUGCUCUUUGUCUACCGUAUCAGGUUUUGGAGGGGUACAUGCCUGAGAUAUUAUCCUUAGACAAGGAAGAAUAACAUGCUCAGCAAUGGCAGGAUGUUUGGCACCCAAUUUAAUUGAAGAAAAUAACAACUGAAAGACAACACGUAAUCUUGACUCCCAGAAUUCAUCUGCCAAAGAACACACCUCUGAAAGCAAUAACAACUCUUCACGACUAGCAAGGGCAAUGUCCAUGGAGCGAUGAUGUUCAAGGCAGUACAUGACUUUCUUCUGUAUUAAGCUGUUCAACUCAGAAACAGCAUUUGCAUCACCUUCAGAGAAAGCACAAAGUACUGCCCUGGCUUGAAUGCGAGCUGUUUUUGGACCUUGAUGAAUAUUGUUUUCAAACAACUCCGAUAAAAUGCUAGCAGCAACAAGUUGUUUCUUAGAAUUUGGGUGCUUGGACAGCACCUGCAAUAUCUCAAGACACUGUGCUACAAAUGUUGUUGCACAGCCAUAGCAACUAUUUGGUGACCUGGAAACCACAAACCUUGAUGAGGCCACUGCAUUAUCAGAGUGUUUCUGGUGCAAAUAAUUCAUCAAAACCCGACGAAGCCCUUGCAAGGUCUGAACACUUUUGCUGACAGAAUCAAAGGCAGCUUUGCACUUCUCACCAUAUAGGACACCAAGAAGAGCAAUUUUCCGAUUUAUCUUACAUGAAGGUCCAGGCAAAGAGACCAUCAUUUGCUGUACAGAGUCCUUCUGUUGUGAGUCCAUUUCAUUCUCACCAAUGCUUGAUACAAUCUUAAGCAAGGGCUUUUUGAAUCCCAAAAGCUGCUGAUACCUCCUAUGGGCAUUUUCAGAUUCAGCUUCUAUAGCUGUCAAUCCCCUCUUCAUAUCAUCAUCAUUCUCCAUGCUAUCAAAUGUAAAACUUGGCUUUGCCAUGAAGUUGAAUUCAAAACGGCCAUAUUUGCUAUAUCCACACUCAUUGCAUAGAAAAGAAUCCAAGUUCUCAUAAUUAAUAUUGCGGCAUUGCCUACACUGAUAAGCAUUCUCAUGGCAAUUGCUGCAAAUUCCAUGCUUAUCAGUGACAGGUCGACUGCAACGUGGGCACUGCAAUGGUUCAAGUGACAACGCCUGAAGAUUUUCAUAGAAUGAAUCCAGCUCAAUCAUGAAGUUACAUGCAGUGAUUGGAAUGGGGAAAUCCACUUUCAGCUCAGUCUGAUUGAAGGCAAGAUGACAACUCUUUGCACGCUUCCACAAGGCCCAAUUGUUUUUCAACUCCGACAGGUCAGCCACAGGCCUAUUGUUAUAGUACAGGUUCAAAACUUUCACAGAUUUUGAUUUACGGGCAUCAUGAACAUUCAUGGUCACAGUUUGGAUAGUGUAGCUCCCAGUGCAUUUCACUAUUAUGCGGUUGUCGGUGAACUUUGUUUCAGAUUUAAGACUUUCUAGCUUCAUUCUGCUGUAGGGUACCUCAGGAGAGCUGCAAGCAACACAAGGUUCACUCUCAAGAUAGUAACCAUCAAAUUCCACCAGACCACUUAAAGUGUUGUAGAUGCGGGAAUUAGGAUGAUUAGCUAAAAGCUCAUUUUGUGAGUGAAGUGUCUCAAAUAUGCACCUAACUACAUCAGUAGUCAAGCAUCGGUCAACAAGUUCAGUGCUCUGUGGCUUUGAACUAGUAUCAGGAACUUUCCCCAGCAACCAGGUUACAAGCUCGGUAUAUUCAACAAUAUUCUGGCCAUACAUCGGCAGACAUUCCACUUUUUGCAAGAGAGCUACUAACAUGGUUUCCUUGAAUGACUGCUUUCCAUGAUGCCAAACACCAUAAAGAACACAUUUGGCUUCAAUCCUCACAGAGCUUGAAUUCCACUCCAGUAAAAAGGAAUUGAUGAAUUGCCUGAGGACAUCACCACCCUUCUCAGUAAAGAUAUCCACCGCUGGCUCCAUAUCCAAAUAGGACUUCUCUGAAGCAGAUUCAGAUCCAUCUUCACCCUUUUUCUUUUUCUUUGAAUCCAGAGAGACUGUGCCUGAUUUGUUUGAACUUGUUCCUGCAUCUCCUGCUUCAGCUUUUGGUAGAGAGUGGCUGAUGUCUUUUCCUGUAUAGAAGGCCAAACUUAAGAGCUUAAGUGUCUGAACCACAGACUCUUCCCCAAAAUAGAAUAUCCCAUUCAUCAGAUAUGGCAAAACAUCUCCAUUCCUCAAACAAUACUUCUGCCAGUUCCGAGGCCGGGCAGCAGCUACUUCAGCCAUUGUAGACAGGCACUUCACUAUCUUGACACUUCUCUCAUAUGGAACAGGAUUCUGAAAACCACCAGAUUUAUUUACAUGUUUGUAAAGUUUCUUGGCUUCACUGGAGAAUUGCCAAGAGUCUCGAACACUGUAAUAAUGAGUCUUGCUUCCACAUAGAUGUAGAAAAAGCCUCCUAGCAUACCUUCUUACAAAUGUGGUAUGAGAAUUGUUGAUGUAACUGCAGAGAACAUCCUGGUAACCAUCUAGCUUCAGAUCCUUACCAGAGGACAUCUUGUAAACCUUCUCUUUCUCUCCAGUCUUGUCUUGUUUUUCUGGUCGAACCAAACCAUAUACCAGCCGGAAAGCAUUCUCUAACAGUAGUCUAUGGUAGUCCAUGAAAAUAUCCAUGCGAUGGGCCUUUGCAUAUGAAUCUGAAAAGAAUGGAGAGAAAUUGCCAGCUGGUAGCUCUCUUCGAACUGUUAGUAGAGCCCCACACCCCAAGCCAGGGUUUGCACCAUGUGCAGCUUCAAAAUUAACAUUAGGGGACUUAAAAACAUGCACCAGCUGCUGUAGAAUAUCCAUUAGAUAAUUAACAAAUGCUUGCUGCCUAAGAGAACUGCAAGCUUGAAGCAGUUGAGAUGCAGAAUCAUGUUUCUCUUGAUCAUCCAAUGAAGAUGGAGCCACAAUUGAAGUGGAGGGUGGAAUCUGAAUAUUGCUUUUAUCCUGCAUAUCUGAACCUCCACUUGACUUUGGAAUAGAACCAUCACUGCCUGGCUGGUGCCAGUUUCGUAGCAUCAAGGUGAAGAACAUGAAGACAAGGAUUGCAACUUCCCCAAAAGGAGAACGAGUUUUGGCUACAAAAGGUUUACUGAGAUUAAUCUCAUCCAAAAACCAUUUGAUUAAUUUCUCCAGAUCUAAGCUUUCAGGUCUUGAGCUGUCUAUAAAAGGUCCACCUACAGCAGAUGAUAAUCUGUAGAAGAGCUGCAUAACAGGUAUAGCCUGAAGCCCAGAGGUUGUCUUCAUCCAUCCUUUCAGCUGUUCAAGAAGCUCAGAGAGAAGCAAUGAAUUUACAGCCCUUUUUGAUGCCGAAAUUGAGACAGGAUCAAUCACCGAAGCAGAAAAUUCUCCAGAUUCAUUGGGUUCCAACACAUGGAUUGCUGGAGUAGAAUUCUGCACAGUAACAUCAGUUGUCACCGGCAACAAGCUUGAUUCGCUUAAGUCAUCAGUGGAGAAGUGAAUUUCACUGCCAUCUCCUCCUAAUGUUUCCACUUCAAUUGGAAUUGCUGACAUAAGAUGAUCUCUAGAAUGCGGUGGAGGAAGUCGGUCUGCGUCUAGUUCAUAACAUGCCUCACAUAAAUCAAAAUCAGGGCAAACGUUACAAUGCCAUCUCCGUCUAAGUAUAGGAACAGUGGAGCAACCAUCACAACAGUACUGAACAGAUGAAGUAAUGGAGUCUUCCUCAAUCAUGACCUGGGUAUUUCCACCAGCUGCAUCAGCAGUCACUGAUGUAGAUACUGUGCUCUCUACCACAUCAUCUGUAGGUAACAUAGUUUGCUUUGGAAAUGGAACCUGGAGCAGUCUUGAAGAUAUAGCCAAGCUGGGGAAAAAAAGGGGGAGUAAAGACCACCAAAAAAAAAAAAAGAAAAGAAAAGAAAGAGAGAGAGAGAGAGAGAGUAAAAGAAAGAAAAGCUUACUUUAUAGUACAAAAAAAAAAGGAAAAUAACUACCUGCUGGAUGUUUGAACGGCCUCAUUGGGGGAAAACAGAAGUUUCUUGAAUAAUACAACAGCUGGUGCAACAGAUCGUCCUCCUGUAUCUCUUCCAUGUAAAGCCAGACAUUCAGCAUAGCAAUAAAUAAGUUCUACAGAGGAUACUACAAUGUUGUUCAUAGUCUGCGUGUCGGGCUGCUCUAUGUCCAAAAUUCCCCAUAAAACUUGCAUGAGCCCAUCCACCACUUCAGAACCUACAUCAGGUUGUAAGAGAAUAAACAGUGGCACACACAUAAAGUAGAAACAGAAUAUAAAUAAAUAUUUGUUUUCCAUCAAAAGCAGAAUGAAGUGCCAAUUAACCAUCUUUGUGAAACAAAUAUAAUAUCUGCAACCAAUACAUGCAGCGUUACUCAAGAGCUUUCUAAUAUCAAUGAGAGGAUGGACAAAUAUUAUUAUCAUUAUUUCAGAUAAGGAUGCAAUAAACUUCAGAAAAGUAAGAUGAAAUCACUACCAAAAAUUUGAUUUGAAGCAUAAACAGCAAGCAAUAACUUAAAAAUAAACCACCAACUAUGUUACCUGGGCUAGCACAUAUCCGAAGGUGUGCAUCAAGCGUCACAUCCUUCUAACCUCCAAACUUAGAAUGACAAAUCAAAGUUUGUUGAAAUGACGAACCUCUCAACAAUUAUAAUAGUUUAAAAUGGAAUGUCCAUGUAAAAUAGCAUGUUUGAUAUCGGUUACUAAUUUGGAAAUCUUCAUCUAACACAACAAUUUUAGAAAAUUAUCCGAUCAAAGUCCUACUUUGUUACAAACAUAUUCCUCUCUUUUGUUCAAUAUGUCUGUUGGCAACAAAGAUACAAAAAAAGGGUGUUUAAGAAUGUUAAUGACCAUGCAAACAUAUAAGAAUGCUAUUAUGCAAAAAAUGAAUUAUGCAUUAUAUGGUCAUCUAACAGUGAAGUGUAAAGAGAAAAUACUGUGAGAGAAAAUAAAGAUACAAAAAAGACAUUGCCAAUCCAGUGAGCUCAGGCUGCUUGUGAACAGUGUUUCAAAAGAAGUUCGAAGCAUACAAUUUAAGGCUACCACUAAUUGUUUAGCCUUGAGACUCAACUUAAGCUUCACCUUGUAGGUGUAUAGACUUGAAGGUUAAGCCUCAAGGCUGUUAAGGCAUAAGCCUCCAAUAUGCAGCCUUUUAGUGGGUUUUAAACUUUUGAUAUGUGGGUCUUCGGCUUUAGGUCUUGACUUCAUGGAAGUGCAGCCCAAAGGACAAAAGAAACAGGGAAAUAAGAGAAAGAAGAGUGCAAAACCGAAAGCUAGGGCGGAAGGUUAGUUCCAAAGGAAACAAGGAAAUAAGAGAAAGAAGAGUACAUAACUGAAAGUUAAGAUGGGUGGACAUCAACAUUGAUGAGAAGAAUGACAGACCAGUUAGAUAUUGCAAUGACAACAACUUAUCUUUUUACUAUGAAUUUUAUGGUUUUCUUAUUUAUAUUUACCUAAGAUAUAAGCAUUUUUCCCGAUCUUUUGAAUUUUUCAUUUUUUAUUUUGGGCUGGGGUUUAAGAUGCAGCUCACACCUUGCCUCCUUGGGGGAAAAAUACCUCAAGGCCAGCUUUGGCCUUUUAAAACAUUGGUUCUUACCAUGUAUUUCUUGCAGUUCAAUCAAGAAUUGCUAUAUUUCUUUAGCUUCACUCGCAGAAACUUCUGGGCAAUGAACUAUUUUUAAAAGUUCAAAAAUAUCAAAACCAUUAUAUUACACAAAAUGCUUCCAUUUCCACACAAAUUUAGCUAGUAGUUUACUAUAUUCAUAAUGAGAGAACUUCCAGAUGGAAUAUAUAUCUGCAUCUGGAAUACAAACUACAAUCAGUGACAUGAUUAAUAGAGGAAGCAAGUAAGGUAUAUCAGAGAAUGCAACAAUACCAUUUAUCUCCAGAAAAGUAGCCAAGUUUGAUCGACGAUGCAAUGCAAUUUUAGAGACUGCACGCAUCUGGGCUGUAAACUCUUCAAUAAUCCACCCAGCUGUAGUACCGCCAACACCCAACCUUGAAGAGAGAACAGAGGUAGAUUUCACCACCCCAAGAAGGCGCAUUGUGUCCUUAACCUAAGUGAGGAAAUUGCAAUCAGUGCCUGAAAAAUAUUCCUAAUGCAAACCCCCCACCCCACAUGACAUUCACACAUAUAUGUGUGUGUGUGUGUGAGAGAGAGAGAGAGAGAGAGAAAGAGAGUGAGAAAGAAUGUGUGUUUCUAAUAUAUCAUAGGCAUUAGGCAGUUACUUGGUAAUAUAUUUCCCUUCUAGGAAACACAGCCUGCAGCACACAGCAAGCAGCAGCCUGCAACAAGGGCUCCCUGUCACUCUCAAAUAUAGUUUCUAAUAACAGCUUGCACUUAAGUUUGUUCAGCUCAGAUUUCACUUCCUCAACUUUUGAGCAUCCUUGUGGCCUACACACAGAAUAUAACCUAGACAGAAGCUUGAGGCCAUCCGCUACCACCUGCUCCUGAAUAGGAGCAGACUGCAUUGAACGGCACUUUUUCCCAGAUCCUGCAACCCAGGAGUUACAACCAAGAACACGAGCUUCUCUAUCCAAAAUUGCAUCCAUUUUUUCUUUCCAUCCAAAUUCAUCCUUAGCUCGGCCGUAAACUUCCAGUGAAUCUAUUCUAGGUAGUGCAGAGCCAUUGAAGGUUGACCCAACAGAUACUGUAAAUUCUUCAUCAGCAAGAAGUGAUUCAGCAACUGUAAAUGGAAUAUCAUACCAAGAGCGCAUGCCAUCAUCUAAUUUAAUCACUCUCUGGAAUAUGGUAAUAUCAGAAGGUAUAUGGCUUGCAGAUGUAUUACCCACAUGCACACGAAAACCCACCAUGACAAUAUCAGGAUUUGAAUUGGCAACAGUUAUCUGAGAAAAGCAAAGAAAAGGGCAAAGUUAUAAAUAAUAAAUGAGAACAUUGAAAUUCAAUAUAAUUGCAGCUAUACCAAUCACCAACACCAAACCAUCUAAAAGUUGUUGCAAGCCAAGUGUAAGAAGUCAAGCAGAAACAUAAAGUACAGAAGAAAAAAAAACCUGCAAAAUGGAGAAUUCUGAUAGUAAAUAAGGGAAAAGAUUAGCUAAUUCCAGGCAUCCAUAUACAAGGAGAUAUGGAAAGGCCACCUCAAACUAAUUAGUAAAAUCAUAUGUUCUGGCAGUGCACUCUUCCUCCUCAACUUAGGAUGUCAAUCAUGCCAACUAUUAUUGAGAGAUAUGCAAUCAAGUGUCAUCAGCAUCUUAACCACCAACAUGCAAUAACCAGGGAGACACUUUUGAUGCUGUCCAAAAUCACCAUGGAUGCCCCAUCAUCCCAUUCGGUAAUCACCAAUGGAUACCACCAUGGAAUUACAGUUUGACAAGUUAUGAAGGUUACUAUGACAAUGUGUGUAAACCAUCAUGAUGGCCCUUACUAAAACAAGAAACCAACCACCAGAAAGAAGCAUCUCCACCAAUAAUACAAGCAAGUAGCUACAAUCAGCACACCAACACCAGCUCCACAACCAUAGUGGCACAGGAUUACCAAUUCCCCAACCUAAACAAUUCUCAUAUAGGAAGCAAGGGAAGAAGCACAAGUAGCACCCUUUGGUAAGAACAUGAGAGAGUAUAAUUAAUGGUAAAAGGAUUUUAUGUAAUUUAUUGGUGAGAAGCCCUUGAGAAUUUAAUAUGACAUGCAAGGUGAUGGCCAAAAUGGUAUUGCACACCAUGUAAAAGGAAACUGGUUCUGUAAGGCUUUGGAAGUCAGAAUUGCCUGAUUUCCACAUAUGGACUAUUUCUUGAAAGCAAUGGGGGUGCAUCUCAGAAUUUGUGCCUCAUCAAUAGGAAUCAAGGAAGAGCUUGUGGACGACUGAAGUGGCUAGCCCCACAGUAAUCUUGUUCCUCAAAUAAAUACCAAUAUACAACUGGCUAAUUGGGAAAAGCAAUUGAACAAAAGUUAUUGAUGACAUAGGAGAAAGCAUGAAACUAAAAAUGUCAAUCCUGUCAUAGAUGAAUUUAACACAAGCAUGUGAGAAAAAUCAAAGACAGAGAGAGGGAGAGCGACUUUGUAGAGGAGUCAACUAAAAACACAUUAGAAAUCAAGCACAUCCAAGCCUGCUGAAAGCUAUUGAUUAAAAAGGGAAAUUAGCAUAAGAUGCUACAAAAGUAUCUUGAACCAAAAGCAACAAUACCUUAAAUCCUGCAGGGCUGGGGCUUUCUAGAAAUCCAUCCUCGGAUACCAAGCUAUGCUUAGCUCCUUCUGAAUCGCCAUUUCUGACAGCAUCACCACCCAACUUCACAUCUGCAGUUAUGCAGACUGUUUUCUCAAAAAAAUCAAGUGGGAAUUCUGGGUUUGUACCAGCAUAAGCUUUAUUGUUGAGGAUAUCUGAACCCAAUCUUUUAACUUUAUCCAAGGUCACACUUGCACCUGCAUCGACUCCCAUGGGAACAUGCGAGUAUAUCUGAAGGCUGCCAUCAUCAUGCAAAACAAGACAAUGAAUUUUAUCUUUGGACAAAGGCUUGUAAGCAGUUAUCCCUACCAGUGGUGAGGUCGAACCCACUGCAUGCCGCAUGUUCUGUGCAAACAACUCAUUAGAACCCAUUGAUAUGGCAAGUGCAACAUUCGGUUUCACACUUGAGAAGCAAACGAAUAACCCACUCCCAACCAGCAACUCCUUCCAACGAUGCAGUCCAGCUGGUCGCAGUUUACCAUCUUGCUCAUCCUCAUAUACAGCAGAUAUCUCAGUUAGAGAUGUUGCAUUUGGAUUUAGCCGACCUAUAAAGGUAGUUCCAUCUUGGUAGGAUAUGAAAAGCAAUUUAUAUGUCGAGGAGAAGUACACGGAUGAGCCUUUUGCCUGAAUGUUCCUAUCCUGAAUAUGAAUAAUUUCCUUCAAUGGUUUGGCCCCAACAUUACCCUCCAAUGACAAUUCCAGCCUAUAUAAGCUUCCAAGUUCAGAAAGAACAAUAAGAAACACUCUCCCUUGAGAAGCCACAAGUAGUGUUGCAUCUACAAUCAUGUCAUCAGACAAUGUGAAGUAGUGCAUGGGACUGAUAUUGUCCUGAGAUAGAUCAUAUAUUUUGACAAACCUAUUGGUGACCACCAUUAGCUGAACUUGAGAACCUGGAACCCAGUCUAUCCGUCUAAUAUAGGCACCUUGCAGAGCAAGUUCAAUGGCAAGACGGUCAGUCACCUCACCACGAGGACUUAAAGUGAGCACCUGGCAAUCCUCAAAGCCUGCAACAGCAAGAUAGUUCUCUACCACUGGAUUGAAAACAAGAUGUACAAUUUCAAACCGAACAACAUUCUUGGAGAGGGGCUUAACAUUGGUCUUGUCGGCUGUUACAGGUGCAAUGGUGGCUUGUCCAAUCAGGUGGCCAACAUCAAAUAUAGCAACUUUGUCACCUUCCCCAACAGCAAGUCGACCUCGAAUACUGACACUGAGUAAAGAUUUGACAAGAGAACCACUGGACAGAUGGGAUUUAAGUUCCUUUGCAUUCGAAUAAUCUGCCUUUAUCUUCAGAUCCAAUGAUCCACUUUUAUAUGCCUUCUUCAAUUGCAGAAUAUCAACACCAUAAGACAGCACCUUAUCUUUGCCCAGAAUAAUUUUCUUAUCUUGUGAAAGGUUGGAGUCUCUUUUGCUAACUAUUGAAGGCAGCAGAGAAGAGCAAAGUUCAAGAACCUGACCCUCAACAUCAAGUUCUUCAAGUAAUACUGGCAUUCCAUCUUGAAGCUCUCUUGAAAUAGACAAGCUGACUGAGUUAUCUACAUCUGUGCAUCCAUCCUCAUCCAGAUCUGAAUCGCUAUCUGGAAGCUGAUCUCCAUCCUCAGUGAAAGGUAAAAAGGACUGAAAGUUAACAGAACCACGAACAGGUGCACUGUUACUUCCAGUGAAUUUUCGAGGCUUCAAGCAUUGGCAAUUGCUACCUCUGACACCCCCCGCUCCACAGUCACAAAAGAAUCGACUUGAACGAGAAUAAACAACACGAUGAUCACGAUGACAAACUUUGGCACACACAGAGCAACAUCCUUUCGACACAGUCAGAUCACAUGUAUAACAAAAAUACCAGUGUUGUUCCAUAAAAUUGCUGCCACUGGAUGUAAAUGUGCAUACCUUGGAAGCAAGUGCCCUUUCACUGUUACUGUCAUCUUCCUCAUCCUUAUCCAUGCUAGCAACCUCACCAUCAGAUGUUCCAUCAUCCUCAUCUUCAUCUACAGAAGUUGCAUCACAUUCAAGAGAAGCCGAUCCUGUUUCUUGAUUAGCUGAAAGAACCAAUGUUUCAGAAUUUUUCCUUGAACCUACUGGUCUAGAAGCCACAGGUCCAACCCCAAUACUACCGCUAGAAAAAGGCUUCCCAGGAGAUUUUUCCAAGGUACUCUUAUUAGACCUA
This 14732-nucleotide long non-coding RNA is filed under the name Vitis vinifera (wine grape). RNAcentral describes it as "long non-coding RNA (VVIN_LNC004788)". The record is from RNAcentral. Lineage: Eukaryota; Viridiplantae; Streptophyta; Magnoliopsida; Vitales; Vitaceae.